GACGAACGCUGGCGGCGUGCUUAACACAUGCAAGUCGAACGAUGAAGCUGGAGCUUGCUCCGGUGGAUUAGUGGCGAACGGGUGAGUAACACGUGAGCAAUCUGCCCUUGACUCUGGGAUAACUGCGGGAAACUGUAGCUAAUACCGGAUACGAGGCUCGAAGGCAUCUUCGGGUCUGGAAAGAAUUUCGGUCAAGGAUGAGCUCGCGGCCUAUCAGCUUGUUGUGAGGUAAUGGCUCACCAAGGCGACGACGGGUAGCCGGCCUGGGAGGGGGACCGGCCACACUGGGACUGAGACACGGCCCAGACUCCUACGGGAGGCAGCAGUGGGGAAUAUUGCACAAUGGGCGAAAGCCUGAUGCAGCAACGCCGCGUGAGGGACGAAGGCCUUCGGGUUGUAAACCUCUUUUAGCAGGGAAGAAGCGAAAGUGACGGUACCUGCAGAAAAAGCACCGGCUAACUACGUGCCAGCCGCCGCGGUAA
RNAcentral lists this ribosomal RNA (482 nucleotides) under uncultured bacterium. Its description in RNAcentral is "partial 16S ribosomal RNA". It matches the Rfam family "Bacterial small subunit ribosomal RNA", at positions 28 to 523 of the family's 1533-position model. The record is from RNAcentral.